This 390-nucleotide long non-coding RNA is filed under the name Phoenix dactylifera (date palm). RNAcentral describes it as "long non-coding RNA (PDAC_LNC017973)". Lineage: Eukaryota; Viridiplantae; Streptophyta; Magnoliopsida; Arecales; Arecaceae. The record is from RNAcentral.
CGCUAGGGGGUGUUUCCAGAUAGCGGCGAUGUUGCCGGAGGCGGUGGAUGAAGAGAGUUCCAGAGAAGCUUUUCUUUUUGUUUUCUAAUUAUAUUUUUUUAAUUCACUUAUGGACACGACGUUCCAGUGCCAUCACGCACUGCCUCUCCGCGUCGGCAUCGUCAACUGUUGUGCGACGCGGUAAUGAAGGCAAAGCAACUUGCAAUUCCCUUUGCUUUCCGAGCUAGUCAUCUAGUUUAUUAAAGCGGAGCAGGCUCCACCAUUGAAAAGCUGUCUCCAAUCUACACCUUUGUUUUCACACAUAGAACUCAUUUGGUUCGAUAUAUAUAUAUAUAUACACACACACAAUUAAUAAAAAAUAGAAAACAAUAAAAAUAUUUUUAAUUUAAU